This 419-nucleotide long non-coding RNA is filed under the name Ananas comosus (pineapple). RNAcentral describes it as "long non-coding RNA (ACOM_LNC002665)". Lineage: Eukaryota; Viridiplantae; Streptophyta; Magnoliopsida; Poales; Bromeliaceae. The record is from RNAcentral.
UUUUUUUUUUUUUUUUGAAAGAUAGAUAGUACGCUAUCCGUUUCGUUUAUUUUAUUUAGAAAUAAACUUAACUGGAAAUGUGAAUCAACUAGGAUUCGAAUUUGGGCCUGAAGUACCAACUACCAAGUCCUUUGCCACUUGCUCUAGAGACGGUCGGUCUAAUACUUCGAUUUCGAGUGUAAUAAAUGUAUUGCGUUUUAAAGGUUGAGAUGUUGUGGUUAUAAGCGAUUUGGAAGCGCCGCCAUGUUGUCACGUUUGCUUAUAAUAAUAACAUAAGAGAGGGUACCAAAGAUAUGUGGCAUCCAUUAAUUACCAUGAGAAGAAGCUAAUUAAGCUAAUUUGUUAGCUAAUCAAGCUUAAGUUUUAACUGUUCAACGUGCGAUUCAAGUUGAAUCUGAUGUUUGAUGAGCUAAUCCAGU